UGGGCCUCCAAAACCUGAAGUUUGAACAUUUCAGCAAUGUUCCCCACCUCCUUCAGGGUGUGACUAGAUAAUAUAACAGACAUGGCACUACUGCCAAUAAUGGCUGUCUCACAUCUGGUUGUCCCUUUGAUACCUAUUGAAUAAUGAUAUUCUCAAUGUGAUGUGAUAUCAUCCCGUUCUGAGAUUCGACAGCCACGACACCAACACAUUGGCUCCUGGCGAUGGGGAUCGGAUUUUCAUAUGACGUGAUGGCAUCACAAAAUGCACUGAGUUUCACUUGAAAUUUUAGGUAAGAGAGAGCUGCGGUUCUCAGCUAGUUCCUCAAUCUAUCAGAAAACCCCUGAUUAACCAACAAUUAGAUCUGCUGUCUACUGCAUUGUUACAGUAAGCUUCUGCAACAUAAAAUUUUAUUAGAAUGCCUCCCAGGUAGUUUAUGUCUAUGCCACAUCUGUCAUAGAGAAAGCAUGCAUAUGAGUCACAAUCAGAGCCUGCCCACCCAUGAGGCAAGGUGAAGCAACUGCCUCAGAGCUUUGGAACAUUCGAUGGGGCAGUAGAUCCGGGCCCAUAAGGAGCAAAUUACUUCCCAUUUACAUUCUCAGCCACCACCUUCUCCUCCAUGCUGCUGCUGUUUGCUGUCACGUCUGGAAGCAAUGACUCCCCCCCCCCCAUCAGCCUCCUUUUGGAUCUCCUUUUUCUCCCCGUUUUCUCAUUGGUGGUGGUGGCACUGGUAAGGGGGCAGGGGAGGAGUUGGGGGGUGGAUCCUGCUUCUGAGGGCUCAUAUGUCUCCUCUCCAUGACUGAUACACACAAUCAUGCUCACAUCCCAUCUUUCUCUCUUCUAUAGAUCAUUAUCUACAGUACUGAUACAAGGUUCAGUAUCAGUAAGGAUUUCGGCUUAGAACCUUCACUGCAUCCUGGUGUUAGACAGGAACUGCUAAAUACAGCUGCCCCAUUGUCAGGGAGUGGCAGGACACUGAUGAGUGUGCACCGGAGGAAGAGGGGCUGCAGUCUGACUUGGGAGAAAUGAGCAGUGGUCCGUGGGGAAUCUGUAACAGCCAGGAGGCAAGAAUAGGAGGCAGGGGAAUCUUCAGAGCUGGAAGGAAGGAAGAGAAGGCAGAGGCAGGUGAGGGAAGUGAAGGAAGGUCCAGGUACUUCCCCACCCUCUCUUGCAUCACUUUCUCCUGGAACCAGGAAAAAAUGGAAGCUGCUAAAGCAGAAGCAGCAUUAUGUGAAGAAGGUUUUGCUUUGGUCUGAUCCAAAUCAAUUACUGAUUUUCAUGAACAGGACAGCCCUUGGCAGGUGACCCUCAACAAGGGAUAUAAUAUUAAGAAAGGAUAUAGUAUAAGUCUGGGGAAACUUUGGCUCUCCAAAGGUUGCUAAACUACAAUUCCCAUCAUCCCUGGCCUUUGCCCAUACUUUUUAGGGCUGGAGUAAAGUUUCCCAUGCUUCUUCUAGGAAUACUGGAGACAAGUUGCUACUCCCCAUCACAAGUCAAGCAUUUGCAAAUGUCUUCUCUGUUUAUUUUAUAGAAAAUAUUAUCUUCUUCUCUGACAGCUUAUCCAUAACCCAGAGGGAAAUGAUAUCUAUGUUGCUGUCAGCAUUGUUCAAUUCAGGAGAAAGAGAUCUGGCAGAGGAAUCCUAUACUACAGUGUGGUUGAGAUCCAGGACUUUGUCAACAUAUUUCAGGUAACUGGAUUCAGCUGAAAUACAGUCAAACUUAAUCCACAAGAUGUCUGGCCAGUUUUCUCUCUAGCGUAUGUUUUCUGAUCUUUACGUCUAUUGCAGUUAGUUCUUUGACCAAGGAGGGGUUGGUUCAUUUUAUUUAUUUUUGCAAACGUUACAGUGAACAUUUUCCUUUAUAUUCUCCUGUAGGCACUCUGGUGAGUUAAGAAUGCCACCUAUAGUUCAUCAUUGAAAUAGCUCCAAGAGGAGAAAGAAAGAAAGAGAGACAGAGAGAGAGAGAGAGAGAGAGAGAAAGAAAGAAAAGGGGGGGGACGCACCUUCCAUGAAUACCAACCAGCAAUGUUGAAUGACAUGGAUCUUUGAGAUUUCUGAUACAUAUGACAAAGUUUUUUUCAGUUGAGCUGCGGAUGGAAACUUAGCAAUCAACUGGCUUCUGUAUUUCCUGAACAUAGCAACAUACGUAAUUCUUUGUUCAAAAAUGUAUCAAAAUAAGUCUGAAAUGUGUGAAAGAAAGGUGCUUUAAAAUACAUUUAAAAUAGUAUGUAGAUGCUAAUUUUCCUGUAAUUUUAAAAAUUGCUAAUUAAUCUGGAAAUCAGGUGAGAUAGAUUUAUGAAUGCACACAUUCAAACAGGAUGAGCAGUUACAAUAGACAGAUUCAUCCAUACCAUCAAGUCAUUACAUUUCCAUCAAGUUGCAUUCCAAUCCAUUGUAACAAUUUUCAGAACAAUUUCUGUGUGUCUGUUGCAGAAAAACAACAAAGCAUCUUGUGCUGCCUUAAAUUUUAAUAGAUUUUAUUACAGUGUCAGCUUUUGUUGACUAGCACUCAGUUCAUCAGAUGAAUGAAGAGUUAUUCUGAGUCACAGCUGUAUUUCUUAGGGCUGGGCGGGUAGCUUAACAGUGAGGUCAAAGGGAAAUGAAAUGUGGCUGUCCAGGCCUCUCUAUCUGCCCCUUGGGAUUCUCCCAUGGCCGUACCUUUCACAGGCCCUGAUCAACACCCUCUCCAGUACUUUUGCAUGGUUGGAAUGUGUCCUUGAACUGUAAUGAUGCCUCUUGCUUGUCAUGCUGGAGAAAUAUAUGCAGAGAGAACCAUCUGACUUUUCUGUAGUUGGAAUGUAGACUACUGUGCAAUAAUGAGUCACAUCCAUUACCCCACCACUACUGGAAUCUCACUCCCAGUGCCUUGCAGACCAUUUUCUAUAACUUCCAUGAGACAUAUGCACCUGGUGAUUUGCCCUGCUCUAAUUCUUUCCUGUCCAACCCCUCAAACCAGCAACAAUAUUGUAAGGGUGUGUGUGAAGGGACCUUGUUCCCUAGGAGUUGGCUCCUAUGGGUCAGAUAGAGAGGCCUGGAUGGUCUCAUUUGGUGCCCGGGUCUGCAGUACUCCAUCCCUAUACUAAUUAGAGAGAAGAUGUGCAUGGGAACCUCCUACGGGAAACUUGCCCAAGAAUUCCUACACACACAAUUAAACAAAAAACAAAAAACUGGAGCUAUGCCUGGAGGUGGUGAUGCAGUGCCGCAACAUUUAAUAAACCAGCUCUAAGUGAGUUAGAAGAAGCCUUGAAAGACAGGUAUGCAUGCCAAGUUUGCUUUCAAAUUCUUGACAAACUCCUGCUUAAUAAAUAGCAAUUUGCCGUGUCGGAAAGCUGAACUCUCUGCUUUGGCUCACUCAUAACAAAGACGCAUAUUCAGAGUCGUGCUGUUUCAUGACCCUCCUGAGUUUCUGUUUGAGAACUCCUUGGAAACAGCUGCCACUUCCUCACAAAGCACGUGAGGCGUAACCCAACCAAUUUAUUGAAUUAUUCAUUAGACUGAGAGAAUAAAUAAAAAAGGUGGGUAUAAGAGGGUGGGGUGGGGGAGAGAGAAGAGUGUUGCUGUUAUAUUGGGGAGAGAGGAAGUUGUCAGAAAGUGCUUUUUAUUUAUAGGUUUAUUACAGCUUGCAUUUGUCUCUGUGAGCAGCAUACAAUUUUCUCUAUUGGCCACCAUAACUCAGGAUAGAAAGAAGAGCUGUAAAUACUAGAAAUUUGGGGUUUUCUGGGACUAUGGUCUCCUAUUUUUAACUUGCAUUUUAACAUGGAGGUAAAACAUUCCUUUGACAAUGUACAGAUAUUAAAUAAAGAUCAGGGGGAUACAGCAAGCAGAAAUUAUUCAAGUACUAGAGGAAAAAAAUUGCUCCAGGCUACUCUUUCACACAUUGUUGCUCAAGUCAGGAUUAUGAUAUGACAGUUCUAACUCUGCUGCUGACAUUCGAAUAGACUAUUACAUUAUUUACUUUUUGUAAAAUAACAUUCUAUUACAGCUCCCUAAAGGCCCACUGCUGUUCUUAGUUUAAGGGGAAAGAUUCUCUUUGCCCAUGAUUCCGAGCUUCCAAUUUGCUAAUACAGCUCUGGUGGAGACCACUAAUCGGGUCCUUCCUUAAAGAGGGCACAUACUGGACAACCGACACCCUGUGUUGUGGGUGGGAACAUCUGGUAAGCCACAACACCCGAUUGGUAGGUCCCUCGAAGCUGGGUACAAUCUGACCAAUGGGACGCAAACGGUUUGAGGGACCUAUUAUGCCCAUGCAUGUGACUCAGAGCUUCCUCUUUCAGCGCGUGCAUUCGGAACACCACAGCAUGUCCUCUGCAAGCCAAGAGAGAGAGAAAGAUUUACCUUCGACGGAUCGUCCUGGUGAUAUCUUUCCGUUAUCCCUUCUUCUUUUUAAUUCCUUUUACCCUCUUCCUUUCCCUAGUUUUUAAUUUUUAAGUUUGUUUUUAAUACUCCCCAUCCUUGAUCUUCCCUGAUUUAGAGGGGCUUCUGCCCCAUGGGGCUUGCAGCCGCUUAGCGCUCCACUUCGGAGUCUUUUCAUUCGCUAAUUUCUUUCCUAUAGGGCGUUUGUCCUUGGGGUUCCCCCAGAGCUCUCCCUUUUGCUGGGGAUUGCCAUGGAUCCUGAUUCUAAAUUUGUGGCUUCAUGUAGCGAUCACUAUUCCCUUAAAGGACUUGAGCUCACAAGCUGGUUUAUCCAGGGGUUCACGGUGCAGCGUUGCUGCAGCUUGAAAAACUUCUGCUCAGCGGCCCCAAUUUAUUGUUUUCGGUGUCUUUUUGCCCGCAGGGCUUGGCUUUAGCGCUUUUGUCUCCAGGGUUGCCUCCAUUUCCCUGGGUUCAGGGAGCAGUAAUUCUGAGCCGUGUUAGCCACACAUUUAUUUUAUAGAGCCUUGAAUAGCUGGAGCAAAGGAAUUUGAGUUAUAGUGAUUGUUUGGUCCGCUAAUUUGGCUUGUGAGAGUUCCCUCUCCGUAAGCUUGGUAAAUACUUCACCCGCUCCCAAUUUGCUUAAGGAUGGUUGGGGAAUUUUUGGAGCCGGCAGCCAUUUUGCCCUGCUUAUUUUGGCAGGAGAAGAAGAAGAAGAAGAGUUUGGAUUUGAUAUCCCGCCUUUCACUCCCUUUAAGGAGUCUCAAAGCGGCUAACAUUCUCCUUUCCCUUCCUCCCCCACAACAAACACUCUGUGAGGUGAGCGGGGCUGAGAGACUUCAGAGAAUUGUGACUGGCCCAAGGUCACCCAGCAGCUGCAUGUGGAGGAGUGGAGACGCGAACCCGGUUUCCCAGAUUACGUGACUACCGCUCUUAACCACUACACCAUACUGGCAUCUUGUCUUGGUGGCAGGGCCUGUGUUGGUGGGAGCACCAUUUUGUUUUGGCGGGAGCACCAUCUUAAGGAUUAACAGUUAAUUUUAAUUUUACUGAAUAUUGGGAGACCUUAUAGAGAUGCCUGUUAAAAGGAAUCUUAGCCCUGCCCUCCCUUCAAAAGGGGUAAUUAGAGGCCCGUCUCAGUCGCUGCAUUCAGUGCAAGCCCCAGCAGUUCCUCAGAAAACAUUGGAUCGUCUGGGGUCUAUCAUGAUCAAUAUUGACACGGACCUUUUGGCCUUGACAAGAUUUAAUGUGGAGCUUGAGUCAUUGGCUCAGCAGUUUGGGAGGCAGCCUGAUCCCCGCCUGGCCCCUCCUCUUCUUCUACUGAUUAUGAGGCUCAGGGUCCUUCUGAUGCAAGUGAAGGGAGUGAGGCUUUUGAUUCCUCUGGGGCUUUGUUUUCCCAAAUGCAUUUUUCCAGGAUUCCAGUCCCAGCUAGCCCUAGGAGUAUGGGUUCCAUGGUGCAGCAGGCCUUUCGGUCUGGACUGCCACAUUCACAGUCGGCACCCCCAGGUUCUGGGAGUUCAGGGCUUCCAGCAGCGCAGUUCUUGAGGAGAGGACCUUCUUUGUACUGUGAUGCCUCAGGUUUAACAUUGUAUUUUCUGCCCGUUUUAUUCCUAGUGCUAAUAAUGACAUUGUGGAUGCCUUAUCCCAUUUUCAGAUGGAGUGCGUCAGAUUCCUGGCUCCGGAGGCCCAGCAGCUUCUGGAAUAUUUACCGGAGCAACUUUGGAACCUUUGCAACAGAUAGUCAUGCAAGGCAUAAUAGCAUCUGUUUCUCCCUCCACUUUGAAGUCUUAUAAGAAGGCCUGGAUGGACUUUUUAGCCUUUAGAGCACAGCUCACGACCAGCCUUAGCUCAGAGUCACCAUCCACACAGCAGGUGUUGUAGUAUUUAGCUCAACUGCAUUUCAUGGGUCGUGCUGUAAAGUCCAUUUGAAUUCAGUCAUCUGCCAUUUUCUUUUUCUGUAAGUCCCUUUAUUCUAGAGACCCUUGUGCAAAAUUUGUAGUGCACAAGGCUCUUGAAGGCUGGGUCAGAUUACAGCCUCCUAAGUCACCAGGUAGGAGGCCGGUCACAUUUGACAUUUUGUGCACUAUGCGCAGCACCCUGAGAUCAAUUUGUUGGUCUAAUUUUGAGGCAGCACUUUCAAUUGCAUUUUUCGGUGCACUGCGUGUGGACGAAGUGGUGGUGGAGUCAGUGUAGGGAAGGACUUCCAGGGGAUUGCUUUUGCAGGAUGUUCAGCUGUCAGAUGCUGAGUUGGUCCUAACCACUCACAAUUCCAAAAUGGACCAGUUGGGCAGAGGUGCCUUGAUGCGGCUGCCUGCCACUGGUGAGCUUGCCCUGUGUCCAGUAAAGGAUGCCCCCCAAAAAUUUGUCCCUUCGCCUGCCUGGGGAUGGUCCCUUCCUGGUUCACGAGGAUGGGUCCCUGUUUUCUGCAGUAAUGCACAAGGCGCUGGCAGCGUGCAGCCUGUCAGCCAGCGAAUUUGCACCUCAUUCCUUCUGUAUUGGGGCAGCUACAACCGCUGCACAUUGGGACCUGUCCGUUGACAGGAUUAAGGAUCUGGGCCACUGGAGAUCUGGAGCAUACCGAGGUUAUGUUCAGAAGCGGCAUUGAGGUGCAGGUGCUAAAGUUGUUUUGUUCAUUCCUAGGUCUGCCUACCCUGCAUGUCUGGAGAGUAGGGCACAGCAUUGUCCACUGGGCCAGCAAGAGGGCAGUAGAGUCUGGAUUUUGACGCAGGCUUGGGCUUUCCAACCACGUGUGCGUUUUCUGGAUAUCCAGACGAGGAAUGCGUUGGGAGGAGCUUCUCCCAAUGGUGCGGGUGAAGGUGUCUGCGGAACGUGCGCCUGCAGCAAUGGUGGUGCAGCUGGGCCAGAAUGAUUUGCCGGAGGCUCACAGCUUGUGGCUGCGGACCCACACACAGGAGGACUUGGAAGAGUUGAAGGCAGCUCUUCCUGGACUCAAGAUACUUUGGUCGCAGCUGUUGCAGCAACGUGCGUGGUGAGGAAGCUGAGAUUUCCGGGUCUGAACAUGCAAUUAAGAGGACUGAUGCAAUGCCAUACUCUCUGUUUCAGGAAAGACUGCAUUCCUAGAUUGAAUUAAGUCAGCAAGAAAUCCUUUAACGUCUUUGCAUGAAUGGGUCUGAUUUGUCCAACCUGAGUGCAGAUUUUUACAUAAUUAGAAUCUUGGUGUAGGUGGUGCUCGUUACAAGGUAUACACCUGAUCCCUCAGUUUGUCUGCCAUGUCUAUAGACCCAACAUACACUCUUGAAAGGAAUGCCACCUUUUGUGUAAAGUCAGGUUGUGCAUCCAUUAAAAAAAUGUGUGCACACCUUUAAUCCUUAAACCUAACAAAGAACUUGCCACACCAGGAAGUUGGAAAAGAUUGGUUAAUUACACAAAAAUGAAAGAGACAAAAGUAUUUAGUUGCUGCUUUAGACGGUGAUAUAGAAAUGUUUUUUUCUAAAUAAAUAAAUAGCAGUGUGUUGGGGGU
This is a non-coding RNA of Podarcis lilfordi (Lilford's wall lizard), 7827 nucleotides long. NCBI's taxonomy places the organism in Eukaryota, Metazoa, Chordata, Lepidosauria, Squamata, Lacertidae. The record is from the annotation of a GenBank genome assembly.